CGUUGACGGAGCGAAGCGACGUCAAACCGAUAAAACAGCAGUGUAAAGUGAGCCGCAGGGCGCUUUGCGCGACAGCGCAAAGGCAGGCGGUUUCGCGUAGCGAAAGCGAAUGCUUUGGGGUGGGGUGACUGCGUACCUUUUGUAUAAUGGGUCAGCGACUUAUAUUCUGUAGCAAGGUUAACCGAAUAGGGGAGCCGGAGGGAAACCGAGUCUUAAUUGGGCGUUAAGUUGCAGGGUAUAGACCCGAAACCCGGUGAUCUAGCCAUGGGCAGGUUGAAGGUUGGGUAACACUAACUGGAGGACCGAACCGACUAAUGUUGAAAAAUUAGCGGAUGACCUGUGGCUGGGGGUGAAAGGCCAAUCAAACCGGGAGAUAGCUGGUUCUCCCCGAAAGCUAUUUAGGUAGCGCCUCGUGAAUUCAUCUCCGGGGGUAGAGCACUGUUUCGGCUAGGGGGCCAUCCCGGCUUACCAACCCGAUGCAAACUGCGAAUACCGGAGAAUGUUAUCACGGGAGACACACGGCGGGUGCUAACGUCCGUCGUGAAGAGGGAAACAACCCAGACCGCCAGCUAAGGUCCCAAAGUCAUGGUUAAGUGGGAAACGAUGUGGGAAGGCCCAGACAGCCAGGAUGUUGGCUUAGAAGCAGCCAUCAUUUAAAGAAAGCGUAAUAGCUCACUGGUCGAGUCGGCCUGCGCGGAAGAUGUAACGGGGCUAAACCAUGCACCGAAGCUGCGGCAGCGACACUGUGUGUUGUUGGGUAG
This 761-nucleotide ribosomal RNA is filed under the name Salmonella enterica subsp. enterica serovar Enteritidis. RNAcentral's name for it is "partial 23S ribosomal RNA". It matches the Rfam family "Bacterial large subunit ribosomal RNA", at positions 1 to 1231 of the family's 2925-position model. The record is from RNAcentral. Lineage: Bacteria; Pseudomonadati; Pseudomonadota; Gammaproteobacteria; Enterobacterales; Enterobacteriaceae.